AACCUAGCACACCUGCGGUGUGUACCUGCGGAAGGAUCAUUACAAGUGACCCCGGUCUAACCACCGGGAUGUUCAUAACCCUUUGUUGUCCGACUCUGUUGCCUCCGGGGCGACCCUGCCUUCGGGCGGGGGCUCCGGGUGGACACUUCAAACUCUUGCGUAACUUUGCAGUCUGAGUAAACUUAAUUAAUAAAUUAAAACUUUCAACAACGGAUCU
RNAcentral lists this unclassified non-coding RNA (217 nucleotides) under soil metagenome. Its description in RNAcentral is "partial contains 5.8S ribosomal RNA, internal transcribed spacer 2, and large subunit ribosomal RNA". The record is from RNAcentral.